GGGGUCAGCAUUAAUAGUAUCAUUAUUAUUCUACACUCCCUUCAACCUCACUUCCUUCCACAGCUACCCUGGCUGAAAGAGAAGACAUCCAAUGAGUUAAUAUGUGUAAGAAAUGUAAAGGUAUACAAAAAGAAAAGCAGUGAAUCGACGAGCAUGUGAUGAUGGAGAAUUACCAGUCCCUUCGAUCUCUGGGUCAGUGUAAGGUGAAAAUAUUUAACUUUACGCAUAAAAAACGUAUCAGGCUGAGACCUCCUACAGUUAUAUCAAAGGCUGACUAUGGAGAAAAGUCCUGCAUACGAGGCCAAGAACCUAUAAAAGAAGAGGACAUUUAUUUAAAUACUUGUAAAGGUUCCUUGCUAAUCUAGUUUGGACAAAAAUCGAAGGGCCCGCAUUUUCCUACAUUUUUGCCCACGUUUUCUCUCAUUCAUUCUUGCUCAUUCUCUCACCCACGCUAAAUGUUACCCUACCUUCCCUGCCUACCACUUCUGCAGUUUUUGGUUCUCAAGCACAUCAUUUGAACACAGAUACAAAAUAUUAUUCACCAAACAUUUAUUUUAAUAAUUGUUAUCUUAAUACACUUACUAGGGUUAUUUUAUCUUUGCUAACAGAGGAAAUAGUGAGCAAGAGAACGUUUGAACUAGAGACAGUGUCCUCUGACAGUGGUCUGUCAGACUGUGAGAAGAAAGAUAUUGUUGACCAAACCACACAACUACAACGUUAUCCUAGUAGAACUAACUCAUGCAGAAAAUAUCUCUCUAUGCAAGAGAGUGCCGGCACCAAGAAGAAGUCCUUUAAAUGUCCUGACUGUGGUAGAGCUUUCACCUGUAAUUCCAAUCUUAUUACCCAUCGGAGGACACACACAGGGGAGAAGCCAUAUGUGUGCUCGGAAUGUGGAAGACAGUUCGGACAGAGCUCCAAUCUGGUCAGACACCAGAUUAUCCACUUCAGGGAUAAACAUUUUAUAUGUUCUGAGUGUGGGGAAAGCUUUAGCCUAGUCUCUAGUCUGGUUACACACCAGAGGAUUCACAUAGGAGAGAAGCCAUUUGUAUGUUCUGAGUGCGGGAAAUGUUUCAGCUGCAAAUCACAUCUGGUUAUACAUGGAAGGACCCACACUGGGGAGAAGCCUUUUGUAUGUUCAGAGUGCGGGAAAUGUUUCACCCACAGUUCAAAUCUUAUUCGCCACCAGAGUACGCACACUGGGGAAAGACCGUUUUUAUGUUCUCAGUGUGGGGAAUGCUUCAGCUGUAACUCCAGUCUGGUUCGACACGAGCGGGUCCAUACUGGGGAGAAACCAUUUGCGUGUACUGAAUGCGGGAAAUGUUUCAGCCGGAGCUCGCACCUUGCUCGCCAUCAGAAAAUUCACACCUGAAGGGACUACUUGCAUUCGAUAUAUGAGUGUGGGUGUUUGAGAUUAUUUUGGGUGGGCUCACCUGUGUAUGAGUCUGCCUAAACUAUUACAAGUAGUGAGGGCAGGCCAUGGACAGAUAUCCCAUAAUGCAGAUGAGGUGCUUGAAUACACAGUGC
RNA transcript from Spea bombifrons (plains spadefoot toad), 1524 nucleotides. It is a transcript of the gene named zinc finger protein 146, with no coding region annotated. Lineage: Eukaryota; Metazoa; Chordata; Amphibia; Anura; Pelobatidae. The transcript has 4 exons. The record is from RefSeq and is a predicted model, not a curated record.